CCCUUUACAGAUGUGGAAUGCUGAGGCUGAGAAAGGUUAAGGAGCCUGCCCAGGGUCAUGUGCUGAAGAAGUGGAGGAGCUGGAGCUGGGCUGGAGCUCAUGUCUGCAGUCUGUUCUGAGCCAAGACGAGCACUCAAGGUAGGGCAUCGAGCUGGAGGGGGAGGUACUGCCCGACGCCACCCACUGCCACUGCUGUUCCAGGCUGUGCUCACUCUGCCUCCCUGUCCGGCAUGUCUGUGCCUUCCCUGGGGCUGGAAGCAGGGUAUCUUAUGUGGCAAAAGCCUUCUUUCCAAAGCCUUAGAAAUAACAGUGUGUAGCCAAGCAUGGUGGCUCGCAAUCCAGUGCUUUGAGAGGCCACGGUCGGAGGAUUGCAUGAGGCCAGGAGUUUGAGACCAGCCUGGGCAACAUAAUGAGACCUUUUUAAAAAAUU
Molecule: long non-coding RNA, 430 nt
Filed under: Pan troglodytes (chimpanzee)
Lineage: Eukaryota; Metazoa; Chordata; Mammalia; Primates; Hominidae
Description: long non-coding RNA NONPTRT017905
Source: RNAcentral